RNAcentral lists this ribosomal RNA (570 nucleotides) under uncultured haloarchaeon. RNAcentral describes it as "bacterial SSU rRNA". It matches the Rfam family "Archaeal small subunit ribosomal RNA", at positions 340 to 909 of the family's 1478-position model. The record is from RNAcentral. Lineage: Archaea; Methanobacteriati; Methanobacteriota; Halobacteria; Halobacteriales; Halobacteriaceae.
CGCGAAACCUUUACACUGCACGACAGUGCGAUAAGGGAACUCCAAGUGCGAGGGCAUACAGUCCUCGCUUUUGUGUACCGUAAGGAGGUACACGAAUAAGGGCUGGGCAAGACCGGUGCCAGCCGCCGCGGUAAUACCGGCAGCCCAAGUGAUGACCGCUAUUAUUGGGCCUAAAGCGUCCGUAGCCGGCCAGGUAAGUCCAUCGGGAAAUCCGCACGCCCAACGUGCGGGCGUCCGGUGGAAACUGCCUGGCUUGGGACCGGAAGAUCCAGAAGGUACGUCCGGGGUAGGAGUGAAAUCCUGUAAUCCUGGACGGACCACCGGUGGCGAAAGCGCUCUGGAAGGACGGAUCCGACGGUGAGGGACGAAAGCUAGGGUCACGAACCGGAUUAGAUACCCGGGUAGUCCUAGCCGUAAACGAUGUCUGCUAGGUGUGUCACAGGCUACGCGCCUGUGAUGUGCCGUAGGGAAGCCGUGAAGCAGACCGCCUGGGAAGUACGUCCGCAAGGAUGAAACUUAAAGGAAUUGGCGGGGGAGCACUACAACCGGAGGAGCCUGCGGUUUAAUUGG